Molecule: ribosomal RNA, 279 nt
Filed under: uncultured bacterium
Lineage: Bacteria
Description: partial 16S ribosomal RNA
Rfam family: Bacterial small subunit ribosomal RNA
Source: RNAcentral
UGCCAGCAGCCGCGGUAAUACUAAAGGUGCAAGCGUUAAUCGGAAUUACUGGGCGUAAAGCGCGCGUAGGCGGUUUAGAAAGUUGGAUGUGAAAUCCCCGGGCUCAACCCGGGAACUGCAUUCAAAACUUCUAGGCUAGAGUGUGUAAGAGGAUAGUGGAAUUCCAGGUGUAGCGGUGAAAUGCGUAGAUAUCUGGAGGAACAUCAGUGGCGAAGGCGACUAUCUGGUACAACACUGACGCUGAGGUGCGAAAGCGUGGGGAGCAAACAGGAUUAGAUA